RNAcentral lists this transfer RNA (72 nucleotides) under Camelus dromedarius (Arabian camel). It matches the Rfam family "tRNA". Rfam says of the family: Transfer RNA (tRNA) molecules are approximately 80 nucleotides in length. Their secondary structure includes four short double-helical elements and three loops (D, anti-codon, and T loops). RNAcentral also lists the same sequence under 1 other name. The record is from Rfam by way of RNAcentral. Lineage: Eukaryota; Metazoa; Chordata; Mammalia; Artiodactyla; Camelidae.
GAGGGUAUAGCUUAGUGGUAGAGUAUGUGUUUAGCAUGCAUGAGGGUCUGGGUUCAAUUCCCAGUACCGCCA